UGCCAUUCACGUUUGUACAGGGUGAACUCUGUUAUGUUCGUCUAUUUACUCGGUGGUUACUAGAGAAUAUAUUGCAUGUGCCCUGUCUUGGUUGAUAGUGUAUCUUGCUCUUGCUUUCUUACGGUCGAGGAGAUGGAUAGAUAUAGAUUCUAGGCAUGUCCUUGGUCCUUGCAAAAGAGGUUUUUUUUUUGCUGCCUUCAUUGCUUUAUUUGGUACCUUGCUCUUUCCACUGUCGAUCAGGAGACAAAUUUGGCAUCAACCCCUGUCCUUGCUCUUUGCAGAGGAGGAUUUUGUUCUUUUCUUCGAUGGAUGUACAUUUUGCUCAUCUGCUGACCAUUAUGUCUUUCCAACCUGCAGUAUUUCUCGGUUCGCUAUACAGGGAUGGAACUUGCAGAACACAUUAAUUUACCGGUAGAUGGCGUGUGUGUUGAACUCGUGUGUGGAUGCGCAACGGGGCAAGUCUGUGUGAUGUAAGGUGUGGACAGAAGAGCGACAAUAACUACGGGGUUGGUCAAAGAUUGAAAGAAAUCUCUUAUGUGUCUUCGGCUUCGACACUGUGUCUUCGGCUUCGACACUACGCAUAGGAAGUCGUUGCUGAUAAUCCAAUCUUUGAAAAGGUUAGUUCAAGGUUCAUAACGCAGGUUCAUGUGGCGCAUGAAAUGUUGAAGUCAAGACGAUCAGGUGGAUCUAUCAAAAAAAUAUGCUUCUGUGGAACUACAUAGGUUCUUUGUUGCCGCUGUGGCUUGAUUUUGUUGUAUGAAAAGUACAUUGUCUGUAUCAAAUUUGAUGUGGAUUGACGAACGGUUCUACUGACAAAAUCCCUUAUGGUUACUUUGCAUUUGCUACAUGUGACUGCCUUGCCUUCUGCCAUGACUUUGACAAAUGA
RNAcentral lists this long non-coding RNA (886 nucleotides) under Triticum aestivum (bread wheat). RNAcentral's name for it is "long non-coding RNA (TAES_LNC027509)". Lineage: Eukaryota; Viridiplantae; Streptophyta; Magnoliopsida; Poales; Poaceae. The record is from RNAcentral.